Molecule: transfer RNA, 94 nt
Filed under: Fidelibacterota bacterium MT.SAG.4
Lineage: Bacteria; Pseudomonadati; Fidelibacterota
Also listed under: 1 other name
Description: Candidatus Marinimicrobia bacterium MT.SAG.4 tRNA-Ser
Rfam family: tRNA
About the family: Transfer RNA (tRNA) molecules are approximately 80 nucleotides in length. Their secondary structure includes four short double-helical elements and three loops (D, anti-codon, and T loops). Further hydrogen bonds mediate the characteristic L-shaped molecular structure. tRNAs have two regions of fundamental functional importance: the anti-codon, which is responsible for specific mRNA codon recognition, and the 3' end, to which the tRNAs corresponding amino acid is attached (by aminoacyl-tRNA synthetases). tRNAs cope with the degeneracy of the genetic code in two manners: having more than one tRNA (with a specific anti-codon) for a particular amino acid; and 'wobble' base-pairing, i.e. permitting non-standard base-pairing at the 3rd anti-codon position.
Source: RNAcentral
GGAGAGGUGGCCGAGCUGGCUUAAGGCACUCGCCUGCUAAGCGAGAGUGGGGGUUAUACUCCCACCGAGAGUUCGAAUCUCUCCCUCUCCGCAA